GUCGGGAACUCGAAGGAGACUGCCAGUGAUAAACGGGAGGAAGGUGGGGAUGACGUCAAGUCAGCAUGGCCCUUACGACCAGGGCUACACACGUGCUACAGUGGCGCAUACAAAGAGAAGCGACCUCGCGAGAGCAAGCGGACCUCAUAAAGUGCGUCGUAGUCGGGGUUGGAGUCUGCAACUCGGCUCCAUGAAGUCGGAAUCGCUAGUAAUCGUGGAUCAAAAUGCCACGGUGAAUACGUUCCCGGG
RNAcentral lists this ribosomal RNA (249 nucleotides) under Salmonella enterica subsp. enterica. RNAcentral describes it as "partial 16S ribosomal RNA". It matches the Rfam family "Bacterial small subunit ribosomal RNA", at positions 1130 to 1378 of the family's 1533-position model. The record is from RNAcentral. Lineage: Bacteria; Pseudomonadati; Pseudomonadota; Gammaproteobacteria; Enterobacterales; Enterobacteriaceae.